This 460-nucleotide ribosomal RNA is filed under the name uncultured bacterium. Its description in RNAcentral is "partial 16S ribosomal RNA". It matches the Rfam family "Bacterial small subunit ribosomal RNA", at positions 338 to 795 of the family's 1533-position model. The record is from RNAcentral.
CCUACGGGAGGCAGCAGUGAGGAAUAUUGGUCAAUGGGCGAAAGCCUGACCCAGCCAAGUCGCGUGAAGGAUGAAGGAUCUAUGGUUUGUAAACUUCUUUUAUAUGGGAAUAAAGUGAGGAACGUGUUCCUUUUAGUAUGUACCAUAUGAAUAAGCAUCGGCUAACUCCGUGCCAGCAGCCGCGGUAAUACGGAGGAUGCGAGCGUUAUCCGGAUUUAUUGGGUUGAAAGGGUGCGUAGGUGGUUAAUUAAGUCAGCGGUGAAAGUUUGUGGCUCAACCAUAAAAUUGCCGUUGAAACUGGUUGACUUGAGUAUAUUUGAGGUAGGCGGAAUGCGUGGUGUAGCGGUGAAAUGCAUAGAUAUCACGCAGAACUCCGAUUGCGAAGGCAGCUUACUAAACUAUAACUGACACUGAAGCACGAAAGCGUGGGGAUCAAACAGGAUUAGAUACCCCAGUAGUC